RNAcentral lists this ribosomal RNA (747 nucleotides) under bacterium. Its description in RNAcentral is "bacterial SSU rRNA". It matches the Rfam family "Bacterial small subunit ribosomal RNA", at positions 1 to 705 of the family's 1533-position model. The record is from RNAcentral.
UUUUUGGAGAGUUUGAUCCUGGCUCAGGAUGAACGCUGGCGGCAUGCCUAAGACAUGCAAGUCGAACGAAGUGGCCCAACAAAAACCGAGUGCUUGCACGAAGUUGGCGAUGGAAUUUCCACUUAGUGGCAGACGGGUGAGUAACACGUAAGUAAUCUGCCCUGAAGACUGGAAUAAUGUUUGGAAACGAACACUAAUACCGGAUAAUUCAUACUUAGAUAACUAAGUAUGCUAAAAGAAGCGUUUGCUUCACUUCAGGAUGAGCUUGCGGCGUAUUAACUAGUUGGUGGGGUAAUGGCCUACCAAGGUGACGAUGCGUAGCCGAACUGAGAGGUUGAUCGGCCACAUUGGGACUGAGACACGGCCCAAACUCCUACGGGAGGCAGCAGUUAGGAAUAUUCGUCAAUGGGGGAAACCCUGAACGAGCAAUGCCGCGUGAGUGAUGACGGUCUUUAUGAUUGUAAAACUCUGUUGUAAGGAAUGAAACCUUGAAAUAGGAAAUGAUUUCAAGCUGACGGUACCUUACCAGAAAGCCCCGGCUAACUACGUGCCAGCAGCCGCGGUAAUACGUAGGGGGCGAGCGUUAUCCGGAUUUAUUGGGCGUAAAGUGUGUGUAGGCGGUUUGUUAAGUCUAAAAUUAAAGCCUGGGGCUUAACCUCAGUUCGUUUUAGAAACUGGUAGACUUGAGUGUGGUAGAGGCAAGUGGAAUUUCUAGUGUAGCGGUUAAAUGCGUAGAUAUUAGAAGGA